CGAGCGAACAGAUAAGGAGCUUGCUCCUUUGACGUUAGCGGCGGACGGGUGAGUAACACGUGGAUAACCUACCUAUAAGACUGGGAUAACUUCGGGAAACCGGAGCUAAUACCGGAUAAGAUUUUGAACCGCAUGGUUCAAUAGUGAAAGACGGCCUUGCUGUCACUUAUAGAUGGAUCCGCGCCGUAUUAGCUAGUUGGUAAGGUAACGGCUUACCAAGGCAACGAUACGUAGCCGACCUGAGAGGGUGAUCGGCCACACUGGAACUGAGACACGGUCCAGACUCCUACGGGAGGCAGCAGUAGGGAAUCUUCCGCAAUGGGCGAAAGCCUGACGGAGCAACGCCGCGUGAGUGAUGAAGGUCUUCGGAUCGUAAAACUCUGUUAUCAGGGAAGAACAAACGUGUAAGUAACUGUGCACGUCUUGACGGUACCUGAUCAGAAAGCCACGGCUAACUACGUGCCAGCAGCCGCGGUAAUACGUAGGUGGCAAGCGUUAUCCGGAAUUAUUGGGCGUAAAGCGCGCGUAGGCGGUUUUUUAAGUCUGAUGUGAAAGCCCACGGCUCAACCGUGGAGGGUCAUUGGAAACUGGAAAACUUGAGUGCAGAAGAGGAAAGUGGAAUUCCAUGUGUAGCGGUGAAAUGCGCAGAGAUAUGGAGGAACACCAGUGGCGAAGGCGACUUUCUGGUCUGUAACUGACGCUGAUGUGCGAAAGCGUGGGGAUCAAACAGGAUUAGAUACCCUGGUAGUCCACGCCGUAAACGAUGAGUG
Molecule: ribosomal RNA, 770 nt
Filed under: Staphylococcus pasteuri
Lineage: Bacteria; Bacillati; Bacillota; Bacilli; Caryophanales; Staphylococcaceae
Description: bacterial SSU rRNA
Rfam family: Bacterial small subunit ribosomal RNA
Source: RNAcentral